RNAcentral lists this ribosomal RNA (478 nucleotides) under uncultured bacterium. RNAcentral describes it as "partial 16S ribosomal RNA". It matches the Rfam family "Bacterial small subunit ribosomal RNA", at positions 28 to 507 of the family's 1533-position model. The record is from RNAcentral.
GAUGAACGCUGGCGGCGUGCCUAACACAUGCAAGUCGAACGGAGUCCAGCCUUUAAGACCUUCGGGUCAAAGAGGGGAAGACUAAGUGGCGGACGGGUGAGUAACACGUGGGCAACCUGGCUCAUAGAGGGGGAUAACAGAGAGAAAUUUCUGCUAAUACCGCAUAAGCACACACUGCCGCAUGGCAGAGGGUGAAAAGAGAAUCGCUAUGAGAUGGACCCGCGUCUGAUUAGCCAGUUGGCAGGGUAAGAGCCUACCAAAGCGACGAUCAGUAGCCGAUCUGAGAGGAUGAACGGCCACAUUGGGACUGAGACACGGCCCAAACUCCUACGGGAGGCAGCAGUGGGGGAUAUUGCACAAUGGGGGGAACCCUGAUGCAGCGACGCCGCGUGAGUGAAGAAGUAUUUCGGUAUGUAAAGCUCUAUCAGCAGGGAAGAUAAUGACAGUACCUGAAUAAGAAGCCCCGGCUAACUACGUG